GCAGGGCUAGAAAAUAUGAAAUUAGUAGGUAUAUUUUAAGAUCUAAAAGUAUAAAAAAAUGGGAUUGUGGGCAGUACCAAGAUGCGAACAUUCUACUUUGCAAGCUUUCUAACAGUUCUAGGUUUAGUUUGAAUGUCUAAAAGUUGAUAUCUUUUAGCAUGAAGCUUGUAGCAUAAGCAUCUACAGAGAGGUUCCAGCAAUUGAUCAAUGUCUGAUAUAAGAUUCCUAGAAUUCCAUUGUUCUCCACAAUAAUAAUAUGGGUUGAUGAGAAUUGUAAGCAGA
Molecule: long non-coding RNA, 282 nt
Filed under: Mytilus galloprovincialis (Mediterranean mussel)
Lineage: Eukaryota; Metazoa; Mollusca; Bivalvia; Mytilida; Mytilidae
Source: RNAcentral